This 327-nucleotide ribosomal RNA is filed under the name uncultured eukaryote. Its description in RNAcentral is "partial 18S ribosomal RNA". It matches the Rfam family "Eukaryotic small subunit ribosomal RNA", at positions 1470 to 1796 of the family's 1831-position model. The record is from RNAcentral.
CCCUUAGAUGUCCUGGGCCGCACGCGCGCUACACUGAUGCAUUCAACGAGUAUUGUUCCUUGGCCGAGAGGCCUGGGUAAUCUUGUUAACGUGCAUCGUGAUAGGGAUAGAUUAUUGCAAUUUUUAAUCUUGAACGAGGAAUUCCUAGUAAACGCAGAUCAUCAAUCUGCAUUGAUUACGUCCCUGCCCUUUGUACACACCGCCCGUCGCACCUACCGAUUGAAUGGUCCGGUGAAGCCUCGGGAUUGUGACUAGUACACUUUAUUGUGCGCUGGUCGCGAGAACUUGUCUAAACCUUAUCAUUUAGAGGAAGGUGAAGUCGUAACA